RNAcentral lists this ribosomal RNA (641 nucleotides) under Streptomyces flavogriseus. Its description in RNAcentral is "partial 16S ribosomal RNA". Lineage: Bacteria; Bacillati; Actinomycetota; Actinomycetes; Kitasatosporales; Streptomycetaceae. The record is from RNAcentral.
GGGUCCGGGCCCGUUCUCUGCAGGUACCGUCACUUUCGCUUCUUCCCUGCUGAAGAGGUUUACAACCCGAAGGCCGUCAUCCCUCACGCGGCGUCGCUGCAUCAGGCUUUCGCCCAUUGUGCAAUAUUCCCCACUGCUGCCUCCCGUAGGAGUCUGGGCCGUGUCUCAGUCCCAGUGUGGCCGGUCGCCCUCUCAGGCCGGCUACCCGUCGUCGCCUUGGUAGGCCAUUACCCCACCAACAAGCUGAUAGGCCGCGGGCUCAUCCUUCACCGCCGGAGCUUUUAACCCCGUCCCAUGCGGGACAGAGUGUUAUCCGGUAUUAGACCCCGUUUCCAGGGCUUGUCCCAGAGUGAAGGGCAGAUUGCCCACGUGUUACUCACCCGUUCGCCACUAAUCCACCCCGAAAGGCUUCAUCGUUCGACUUGCAUGUGUUAAGCACGCCGCCAGCGUUCGUCCUGAGCCAGGAUCAAACUCUACGGUUACCUUGUUACGACUUACGGAUACCUUGUUACAACUUACGGUUACCUUGUUACAAUUUACGGAUACCUUGUUACAAUUUAGGGGUACCUGUUUAAAACUUAUGGGGACCUGGUAAAAACUUAUAGGGCCCUUGUGGAAACUAUGGGGGCCGGGUGGGACUU